GCCAGACUCCUACGGGAGGCAGCAGUGGGGGAUAUUGCACAAUGGGGGGAACCCUGAUGCAGCGACGCCGCGUGGGUGAAGGAGCGUUUCGGCGCGUAAAGCCCUAUCGGCAGGGAAGAAGGAGGACGGUACCUGACUAAGAAGCCCCGGCUAACUACGUGCCAGCAGCCGCGGUAAUACGUAGGGGGCAAGCGUUAUCCGGAUUUACUGGGUGUAAAGGGGGCGCAGACGGCAGCGCAAGCCAGGAGUGAAAGCCCGGGGCCCAACCCCGGGACUGCUCUUGGAACUGCGCGGCUGGAGUGCAGGAGGGGCAGGCGGAAUUCCUGGUGUAGCGGUGAAAUGCGUAGAUAUCAGGAGGAACACCGGUGGCGAAGGCGGCCUGCUGGACUGCGACUGACGUUGAGGCCCGAAAGCGUGGGGAGCAAACAGGAUUAGAUACCCUCGUAGAU
This 449-nucleotide ribosomal RNA is filed under the name uncultured bacterium. RNAcentral's name for it is "partial 16S ribosomal RNA". It matches the Rfam family "Bacterial small subunit ribosomal RNA", at positions 330 to 795 of the family's 1533-position model. The record is from RNAcentral.